Molecule: ribosomal RNA, 769 nt
Filed under: uncultured bacterium
Lineage: Bacteria
Description: bacterial SSU rRNA
Rfam family: Bacterial small subunit ribosomal RNA
Source: RNAcentral
AGAGUUUGAUCAUGGCUCAGGAUUAACGCUGGCGGCGUGCCUGACACAUGCAAGUCGAACGGGUGCUAGCUGCCCGCAAGNNGGCUAGCGCUAGUGGCGGACGGGUGAGUAACACGUGGGCAACCUGCCUGAGAGUGCAGAAUAACCCUGCGAAAGCGAAAUACUGCAUGUGGUUGUCGGAUGGCAUCAUCUGACAACUAAAGUCGCAAGAGCUCUCAGAUGGGCCCGCGGCCUAUUAGCUAGUUGGUGAGGUAACGGCCCACCAAGGCUUUGAUGGGUAGCUGGCUGAGAGGACGGACAGCCACACUGGGACUGAGACACGCCCAGACUCCUACGGGAGGCAGCAGUGAGGAAUUUUCCGCAAUGGGCGAAAGCCUGACGGAGCACGCCGCGUGAGGGAUGAAGUCUCUAGGGAUGUAAACCUCUGUUGGGUGGGACGAAGAUCUGACGGUACCACCUGAGGAAGCCCCGGCUAACUACGUGCCAGCAGCCGCGGUAAUACGUAGGGGGCGAGCGUUAUCCGGAUUUACUGGGCGUAAAGAGCGCGUAGGCGGUUCCGUAAGUUGGUUGUGAAAGUUCGAGGCUCAACCUCGAACUGCGUCCAAUACUCGGGGCUUGAGUGCAAGAGAGGCAAGUGGAAUUUGCAGUGUAGUAGUGAAAUGCGUAGAUAUUGCAAGGAACACCAGUGGCGAAGGCGCUUGCUAGCUUGUAACUGACGCUGAGGCGCGAAAGCUAGGGGAGCGAACGGGAUUAGAUACCCUAGUAGUCC